This 552-nucleotide ribosomal RNA is filed under the name uncultured bacterium. RNAcentral describes it as "partial 16S ribosomal RNA". It matches the Rfam family "Bacterial small subunit ribosomal RNA", at positions 355 to 921 of the family's 1533-position model. The record is from RNAcentral.
UGGGGAAUAUUGCACAAUGGGCGAAAGCCUGAUGCAGCAACGCCGCGUGAGUGAUGAAGGUCUUCGGAUUGUAAAGCUCUGUCUUUUGGGACGAUAAUGACGGUACCAAAGGAGGAAGCCACGGCUAACUACGUGCCAGCAGCCGCGGUAAUACGUAGGUGGCGAGCGUUGUCCGGAUUUACUGGGCGUAAAGGGUGCGUAGGCGGAUGUUUAAGUGAGAUGUGAAAUACCCGGGCUUAACUUGGGUGCUGCAUUUCAAACUGGAUAUCUAGAGUGCAGGAGAGGAGAAUGGAAUUCCUAGUGUAGCGGUGAAAUGCGUAGAGAUUAGGAAGAACACCAGUGGCGAAGGCGAUUCUCUGGACUGUAACUGACGCUGAGGCACGAAAGCGUGGGUAGCAAACAGGAUUAGAUACCCUGGUAGUCCACGCCGUAAACGAUGAGUACUAGGUGUAGGAGGUAUCGACCCCUUCUGUGCCGCAGUAAACACAUUAAGUACUCCGCCUGGGAAGUACGAUCGCAAGAUUAAAACUCUAAGUGAAUUAAACGGGGGUC